CCUACGGGGCGCAGCAGUGGGGAAUAUUGCGCAAUGGGCGAAAGCCUGACGCAGCGACGCCGCGUGAGGGAUGAAGGUCUUCGGAUCGUAAACCUCUGUCCGCAGGGAAGAACGUUCACUGUGCUAAUCAGCAGUGAAUUGACGGUACCUGCAAAGGAAGCACCGGCUAACUCCGUGCCAGCAGCCGCGGUAAUACGGAGGGUGCGAGCGUUCCUCGGCAUUACUGGGCGUAAAGCGCUCUUCUGCGGUAUGUCACUUCAAGGGUGAAAUCCCCGCGCUCACCGUGGGAACUGCCUUUGACCCUG
RNAcentral lists this ribosomal RNA (305 nucleotides) under uncultured bacterium. RNAcentral's name for it is "bacterial SSU rRNA". It matches the Rfam family "Bacterial small subunit ribosomal RNA", at positions 338 to 635 of the family's 1533-position model. The record is from RNAcentral.